ACAAACCCUUACAUUUAACCUGGGGAAGGGUAGUGUUCAGUUAAUCUGACUAUGCAUUCAAAUCACAAGAUGAAAUGUUCCGUUUGAGGAUCAACUACAUGACAUUUUUCGCACACAUCCUAAAGUGUCGAAGGAACCUUGCAAAAUCCAAAAGUUAUGUCGGUUGUUCUCCGAAUGACCAUUGACUUGACAGUCACAAAUUUUCAAAAAAAAAGAAUAAAAAAGCCCGC
RNAcentral lists this long non-coding RNA (230 nucleotides) under Lathyrus oleraceus (garden pea). RNAcentral's name for it is "Pisum sativum (pea) long non-coding RNA (PSAT_LNC002653)". The record is from RNAcentral. Lineage: Eukaryota; Viridiplantae; Streptophyta; Magnoliopsida; Fabales; Fabaceae.